UGGGGAAUCUUGGACAAUGGGGGCAACCCUGAUCCAGCCAUGCCGCGUGGGUGAAGAAGGCCUUAGGGUUGUAAAGCCCUUUCGGCGGGGAAGAUGAUGACGGUACCCGCAGAAGAAGCCCCGGCUAACUCCGUGCCAGCAGCCGCGGUAAUACGGAGGGGGCUAGCGUUGUUCGGAAUCACUGGGCGUAAAGGGCGCGUAGGCGGACCACCAAGUCAGGGGUGAAAGCCCUGGGCUCAACCUAGGAAGUGCCCUUGAAACUGAUGGUCUUGAGUCCGGGAGAGGAGAGCGGAAUUCCCAGUGUAGAGGUGAAAUUCGUAGAUAUUGGGAAGAACACCGGUGGCGAAGGCGGCUCUCUGGACCGGCACUGACGCUGAGGCGCGAAAGCGUGGGGAGCAAACA
RNAcentral lists this ribosomal RNA (402 nucleotides) under uncultured bacterium. RNAcentral describes it as "bacterial SSU rRNA". It matches the Rfam family "Bacterial small subunit ribosomal RNA", at positions 355 to 774 of the family's 1533-position model. The record is from RNAcentral.